GUAUCUUCGGAUAUGAGUAGAGCGGCGGACGGGUGAGUAACGCGUAGGAAUCUACCUAGUAGAAGGGGAUAGCCCGGGGAAACCCGGAUUAAUACCGUAUACCUCCUUCGGGAGAAAGAAGGCCUCUCUUUGAAGCUUUCGCUACUAGAUGAGCCUGCGUAAGAUUAGCUUGUUGGUGAGGUAAAGGCUCACCAAGGCUACGAUCUUUAGCUGGUCUGAGAGGACGAUCAGCCACAUUGGGACUGAGACACGGCCCAGACUCCUACGGGAGGCAGCAGUGGGGAAUAUUGGACAAUGGGCGCAAGCCUGAUCCAGCCAUACCGCGUGUGUGAAGAAGGCCUUCGGGUUGUAAAGCACUUUAAGCAGGGAGAAAAAGUUAUAAGCUAAUAUCUUAUGACCUUGAUGUUACCUGCAGAAUAAGCACCGGCUAAUUCCGUGCCAGCAGCCGCGGUAAUACGGAAGGUGCAAGCGUUAAUCGGAAUUACUGGGCGUAAAGCGCGCGUAGGUGGUUUGUUAAGUUGGAUGUGAAAGCCCUGGGCUCAACCUAGGAACUGCAUCCAAAACUAACUCACUAGAGUACGAUAGAGGGAGGUAGAAUUCAUAGUGUAGCGGUGGAAUGCGUAGAUAUUAUGAAGAAUACCAGUGGCGAAGGCGGCCUCCUGGAUCUGUACUGACACUGAGGUGCGAAAGCGUGGGUAGCGAACAGGAUUAGAUACCCUGGUAGUCCACGCCGUAAACGAUGACAACUAGCUG
Molecule: ribosomal RNA, 753 nt
Filed under: gamma proteobacterium SCGC AAA076-M20
Lineage: Bacteria; Pseudomonadati; Pseudomonadota; Gammaproteobacteria
Description: bacterial SSU rRNA
Rfam family: Bacterial small subunit ribosomal RNA
Source: RNAcentral